AGUGAACGCUGGCGGUAGGCCUAACACAUGCAAGUCGAACGGCAGCACAGUAAGAGCUUGCUCUUACGGGUGGCGAGUGGCGGACGGGUGAGGAAUACAUCGGAAUCUACUUUUUCGUGGGGGAUAACGUAGGGAAACUUACGCUAAUACCGCAUACGACCUACGGGUGAAAGCAGGGGAUCUUCGGACCUUGCGCGAUUGAAUGAGCCGAUGUCGGAUUAGCUAGUUAGCGGGGUAAAGGCCCACCAAGGCGACGAUCCGUAGCUGGUCUGAGAGGAUGAUCAGCCACACUGGAACUGAGACACGGUCCAGACUCCUACGGGAGGCAGCAGUGGGGAAUAUUGAACAAUGGGCGCAAGCCUGAUCCAGCCAUACCGCGUGGGUGAAGAAGGCCUUCGGGUUGUAAAGCCCUUUUGUUGGGAAAGAAAAGCAGCAGGUUAAUACCCCGCUGUUCUGACGGUACCCAAAGAAUAAGCACCGGCUAACUUCGU
Molecule: ribosomal RNA, 491 nt
Filed under: uncultured bacterium
Lineage: Bacteria
Description: partial 16S ribosomal RNA
Rfam family: Bacterial small subunit ribosomal RNA
Source: RNAcentral